RNAcentral lists this ribosomal RNA (588 nucleotides) under Bacillus sp. ICS11203. RNAcentral describes it as "bacterial SSU rRNA". It matches the Rfam family "Bacterial small subunit ribosomal RNA", at positions 338 to 916 of the family's 1533-position model. The record is from RNAcentral. Lineage: Bacteria; Bacillati; Bacillota; Bacilli; Caryophanales; Bacillaceae.
CCUACGGGAGGCAGCAGUAGGGAAUCUUCCGCAAUGGACGAAAGUCUGACGGAGCAACGCCGCGUGAGUGAGGAAGGCCUUCGGGUCGUAAAGCUCUGUUGUGAGGGAAGAACAAGUAUCGGUUGAAUAAGCCGGUACCUUGACGGUACCUCACCAGAAAGCCACGGCUAACUACGUGCCAGCAGCCGCGGUAAUACGUAGGUGGCAAGCGUUGUCCGGAAUUAUUGGGCGUAAAGCGCGCGCAGGCGGCUUCUUAAGUCUGAUGUGAAAUCUCGGGGCUCAACCCCGAGCGGCCAUUGGAAACUGGGGAGCUUGAGUGCAGAAGAGGAGAGUGGAAUUCCACGUGUAGCGGUGAAAUGCGUAGAUAUGUGGAGGAACACCAGUGGCGAAGGCGACUCUCUGGUCUGUAACUGACGCUGAGGCGCGAAAGCGUGGGGAGCAAACAGGAUUAGAUACCCUGGUAGUCCACGCCGUAAACGAUGAGUGCUAGGUGUUAGGGGUUUCGAUGCCCGUAGUGCCGAAGUAAACACAUUAAGCACUCCGCCUGGGGAGUACGACCGCAAGGUUGAAACUCAAAGGAAUUGACGG